Molecule: ribosomal RNA, 428 nt
Filed under: Bacteroidota bacterium
Lineage: Bacteria; Pseudomonadati; Bacteroidota
Description: Bacteroidetes bacterium partial 16S ribosomal RNA
Rfam family: Bacterial small subunit ribosomal RNA
Source: RNAcentral
UCGGGAAUCUUCCGCAAUGGACGCAAGUCUGACGGAGCAACGCCGCGUGAGUGAAGAAGGAUUUCGGUUCGUAAAACUCUGUUGUUAGAGAAGAACAGCGCAUAGAGUAACUGUUAUGCGUGUGACGGUAUCUAACCAGAAAGCCACGGCUAACUACGUGCCAGCAGCCGCGGUAAUACGUAGGUGGCAAGCGUUGUCCGGAUUUAUUGGGCGUAAAGCGAGCGCAGGCGGUCAAUUAAGUCUGAAGUUAAAGGCAGUGGCUCAACCAUUGUAGGCUUUGGAAACUGUUUAACUUGAAUGCGGAAGGGGAGAGUGGAAUUCCAUGUGUAGCGGUGAAAUGCGUAGAUAUAUGGAGGAACACCGGUGGCGAGAGCGGCUCUCUGGUCUGUAACUGACGCUGAGGCUCGAAAGCGUGGGGAGCAAACAGG